AUGCACAUAAUGCACGCAUAUUAUUUGAUGAAUAAACUCAGGUACAAAAAAGUAUCAAUUGAUUUUUUCAUUAAUUGUGACAGUACUAUAUUUAAUUGUAUUUAUAUUUUUCUAUUCCAGAUUAAAAGUUACUAUGAAAUGAAGAGAAAGUAUCCAGAUUUUUAUCGUUACUGUUAUCCCUCGGAGAGAUCUUAUAUAUACGAUAUGUGUUUUCUCACUUUACUACCUGGCACAGACAAAUUGGGCAGGGUAGUGACAGUCGUCUGUAUCAGAAACACAGAUUUCUCUCAAAUUAGUCUAGAAGAUAUGUUUCAAGUCGGGACGAGUUCGUUUGAAGUGGCUUUGAUGGACCCUAAGCUUCAAAUCGCCGGCGGAGUUGCCAUUAUAGACAUGCAAGGAAUGAGCAUCUAUCAACAAGCAAAAUUAGUGACGCCCUCUGCCGCAUGGCAGAUAACAAUUGUGUGCAGGUACUUACGAUCAUAUUUUAAAAAUCACUUCACUAAUCUUUCUUUCCGUCCCUCUUUUGGGAGCUGGUCCCCCAAGGCAGGAACACUUGAAAAGCGAUUUCUAUAAAGUUUGCGGCCUUUUAUUACCAUUAGAUCCCCAUGAGCGGUCUAUCUGUCCUUUGCCCUCCCCCCCCUCAAAAAAAAUUCCAGCCUCGCCUGUGCAUCUGGACUCAUAUUUGGACCGCGUUUAGCAAAAAGGAGGUGAGCCAAAUCAGCUUUUGCCAAAAUGUUUCACAAUAGAACGUUUGUUCCUAAUAUUUUGGCAAUUUUGAGGAAAUUGCUUUGUACUGUGCAGAAAAUUACUAAAAUUUGCACAAAAAUCCGAACGGUUUCAUGUAAAAAUUAAACUGAUCAAUUUAAUUUGGCAAUUUCUGAUGUAGCUUGGUUCCUUUUUGCUGAGCGCGGUGCAUUUAGUCCGCAAUGAUUGUUUUGUAGAGACUGGUAAUAACAUACCUACACACGCGCAACGCGCCUCUAAUCAUAUUUGGAGUUGUCUUGAAAUGAGGUCGUGUAAUCACAUUAUUAUCACCAUAUUUUUAAAGGAGAAAGAACUUGCUUUCUUUCUGCAUGAAUGGGGGGAAAUGCUUUUCAGAUCAAUUUCAUAUGUUGAUCAUAGAAACCUGUCUAAUCAUGCAAGUAAGUUAUGGGGUCAACAGAAUCCGUCAAUUCUGAUAGGGAAUACCAUUAUCUCGUCUGAGACGAAGUCUGCCGUGCUAUAUGGAAGAACGCCUUAUGAGCCUUUAGACGUUGCCAAGUUUCCCUCGAUAAGAACCGAAUUUACUGGUCAAAUUGUGAAUAUUUGUUUCCAAAAUUUCCAGACAAUUUCGUACGCAAUUUAAUCUGCAAGUAAUAUCUGAAAAUUUCAAGGAAGAAUAUCCACGAGUGUCGUUUAAAAUACAUGUUUUAUCAAGAAGAAUCCGGCAACUCUCAAAUGCUCAUAAGGCGUUCUUCCUUACCACUGCAGAAGUGAUGUUCUCGGUGUUGCGAACUUCUUUGAAGUCAUUAACCAAGUCAGUU
This 1523-nucleotide long non-coding RNA is filed under the name Bemisia tabaci. Its description in RNAcentral is "lncRNA ENSSSA1NGG007016". Lineage: Eukaryota; Metazoa; Arthropoda; Insecta; Hemiptera; Aleyrodidae. The record is from RNAcentral.